GAGCUGCCUUCAGCAGCUCAUAUAUUAAAAUUGGAACAACAUAGAGAUUAGCAUGGUCCUUGUGCAAGGAUGGUGGGGAAAUUUAUGAAGCAGUCCAGAUUUUU
Small nuclear RNA from Mastomys coucha (southern multimammate mouse), 104 nucleotides. Lineage: Eukaryota; Metazoa; Chordata; Mammalia; Rodentia; Muridae. The record is from RefSeq and is a predicted model, not a curated record.